GUUGGCCCUGAAGUGAUCUCUGGUCUCCCUGAUUUAAGCCCCUUGCACACCUGUGGACAUCAACAUUGACAGAACCUGCAAACCUGACGGGAUCAGGGUUUCCUGGGCUAAUUCGUCUGUGGCGCAGUACUUCCUCCUGACGGUCACAUGGAGCGACGGGAAGACGCAGACCCAUAACACAUCGGUGAACAGCUAUACUAUCUCCAAGCUGCCGUGUGGCCGCACCUACUCCUUGUCCAUCACUGCCUUCGCGGGAAACUGCAGCACCCCCGCCAGCUCAGCCGUCACCUUCAGCACGGAGCCUUGUGUCCCAACCAACCUGCAGGUAGAGAUGCAGUGCUAUGCCAACUCGUCGAUGCUCUCCUGGGAUGCCAGCAACGGAUCCAAAGAGUACUUUGCAUAUGCGCAGAGUGGCAAUGGGGACACAUUGUACUGCCACAGCAUCAACACCACCUGCACCUUCAGACGACUGCAAUGCGGCUCCACGUACAACUUCUCAGUACGGGCCUCCAAUGGCAUCUGUAACAGCUCCUUCAGCAUGCCAGCUGAGAAGGGAGCAGCUCCAUGUGCCCCUGAUGCGGUUCGCACGCGACUGCUGCCCAUGGAGAAACAGGUGCAGACCGUGUUGGUGUCCUGGGAGCCCGUGCACUGUCCCAAUGUCACAUACCUGGUGGAUAUGACUGGCAGCAUAGAGGGUGAUCCCCAAAAGCUCAUCCAUGUGUUCUCCUAUUGGACACAAGUAACCUUCUUUGAGAUCCCGCUUCCCUGUGGCACCAAGUACAGUGUAACAGUCCAAUCCAGGAACCCUGCAGGGGUCAGCAAACCGUCAGCGGCGAA
This 837-nucleotide long non-coding RNA is filed under the name Scleropages formosus (Asian bonytongue). Its description in RNAcentral is "lncRNA (ENSSFOG00015026736.1)". The record is from RNAcentral. Lineage: Eukaryota; Metazoa; Chordata; Actinopteri; Osteoglossiformes; Osteoglossidae.